GAUGAACGCUGGCGGCGUGCCUAAUACAUGCAAGUCGAGCGAACGGACGAGAAGCUUGCUUCUCUGAUGUUAGCGGCGGACGGGUGAGUAACACGUGGAUAACCUACCUAUAAGACUGGGAUAACUUCGGGAAACCGGAGCUAAUACCGGAUAAUAUUUUGAACCGCAUGGUUCAAAAGUGAAAGACGGUCUUGCUGUCACUUAUAGCUGGAUCCGCGCUGCAUUAGCUAGUUGGUAAGGUAACGGCUUACCAAGGCAACGAUGCAUAGCCGACCGGAGAGGGGGAUCGGCCACACUGGAAGUGGGACACGGUCCAGACUCCUACGGGAGGCAGCAGUAGGGAAUCUUCCGCAAUGGGCGAAAGCCUGACGGAGCAACGCCGCGUGAGUGAUGAAGGUCUUCGGAUCGUAAAACUCUGUUAUUAGGGAAGAACAGAUGUGUAAGUAACUGUGCACAUCUUGACGGUACCUAAUCAGAAAGCCACGGCUAACUACGUG
Molecule: ribosomal RNA, 497 nt
Filed under: uncultured bacterium
Lineage: Bacteria
Description: partial 16S ribosomal RNA
Rfam family: Bacterial small subunit ribosomal RNA
Source: RNAcentral